This 428-nucleotide ribosomal RNA is filed under the name uncultured fungus. RNAcentral's name for it is "eukaryotic LSU rRNA". It matches the Rfam family "Eukaryotic large subunit ribosomal RNA", at positions 1 to 422 of the family's 3401-position model. The record is from RNAcentral. Lineage: Eukaryota; Fungi.
GACCUCAAAUCAGGUAGGACUACCCGCUGAACUUAAGCAUAUCAAUAAGCGGAGGAAAAGAAACUAACAAGGAUUCCCCUAGUAACUGCGAGUGAAGAGGGAAGAGCUCAAAUUUAAAAUCUGUCAGUCUUUGGCUGACUGAGUUGUAAAUUAGAGAAGUGCUAUCAGUGCUGGCCUGUGCAAAAGUCUCUUGGAAAAGAGCAUCAUAGAGGGUGACAAUCCCGUCUUUGGUACAGAUCUCCAGUGCUUCCAUGAUGCGCUCUCGAUGAGUCGAGUUGUUUGGGAAUGCAGCUCUAAAUGGGUGGUAAAUUCCAUCUAAAGCUAAAUAUUGGCGAGAAACCGAUAGCGCACAAGUACCGUGAGGGAAAGAUGAAAAGAACUUUGAAAAGAGAGUUAAACAGUACGUGAAAUUGUUGAAAGGGAAACGC